Nymphalis io (European peacock) is the source of this 2482-nucleotide long non-coding RNA. RefSeq lists it as uncharacterized. The record is from RefSeq and is a predicted model, not a curated record. NCBI's taxonomy places the organism in Eukaryota, Metazoa, Arthropoda, Insecta, Lepidoptera, Nymphalidae. The transcript is spliced from 2 exons.
CUGCUGGGUUAAGGCCUCCUCUCCCUUUUUGAGGAGAAGGUUUUAGAGCUUAUUCCACCACGCUGCUCCAAUGCGGGUUGGUAGAAUACACAUGUGACAUAAUUUCAAUGAAAUUAGACACAUGCAGGUUUCCUCACGAUGUUUUCCUUCACCGUCAAGCACGAGAUGAAUUUUAAUCAGAAAUUAAGCACAUGAAAAUUCAGUGGUGCUUACCCGGGUUUGAACCCACGAUCAUCGGUUAAGAUUCACGCGUUCUAACCACUAGGCCAUCUCGGCUUUAUAACAUAUAAUAUUUACUUAUUAUAAUAUUUACUUAACUUUUAUUAAUUAUUUAAUAUACAUAUGUUUUUCAGUACCAAGUAAGUUUGUCUGAAUCUAUAUAUGUGCAAUCUCACAUUACGCAAGAUUUACUGUAGAUAAAUAAAGAUGCGCUUAUAUUAUUUUAUGUUAAUUUGAAAUGUAUUUUUAUGUUAUGUAUUGUUUAUUUAAUAUUCCACACACGUGUUAAUUAUGACAGUCAUUCGACAUAGAACCAACUCAAAUGAAGCCUUGUGGCGUUUUGUCACUAAUCAAAGAUAUUAAGAUGUAACCAUAGACAAUUUAGAACUUUUUAACGAUGAUGACAUUUCUAACAUUAUAUAACAUUGUAAAGUCAGAAAUUCAACUUAAUAUACAUUAUAACCUAAAACAUUGUAAUGUAGUUACGUCAUUAUAGUAUGUCACGCAAAUAAUAAUCUAACUAACUAAAAUUGAUCGGAGGUUCCACACACAUUUUAUGUAUAUUGUAAUAUAUCGUUCAAAAAUGAAAUACAAAAUGUUAAAUUAUUUAUUAUUAAGAAAUAUUUAAAUAUUUAUAACUCUCUAUUUACAGACGAUUGUAAGUAUAUUUUUUGCACAUAUAUAUUAUACUAGCUUUCAUUCGGUUUGCUCACGCGAUAAUGGGAGGGCAGGCUUAAAAGAAGCCUAUGAGUUCAACCUUUCUCCAUAAAGAUUUAGUGGUUUAGCUUUAAAAACGUAACAUAGCGUCAGAGAUAUAAAUAUGAAAUAAUAAUAACUCUUAUAAUAAAUAAUCAUAUUAUUUUUUUCAGGGUCGAUCAGUAAGUUUUUUUAAAAUACUUUACACGUCAACGCAAUAAAAAUAUAUGUAAUAGGGGCUUUUAUUCAUUUAUCCUAGGGAAUCGAAAUUGGAUUUCAAUGUAUUUUAUUUUGGAUGUGAUUUGCGUUAAAUUCUUAGUGAGCGUCUAUGUCUCGAAAUGAGUAACUAUGCUAAAUUGCAAGACGGACUUAUAGAUUCGGAGAUCUCGUGAUGAGUUAGUCAGGCAGUGGUAUUUCGCUUAAAUAUAUAUAAUUGCAUAAAUAAUUGCACUUUAUUUAAAUGAUAUAAAGAAUAAAAUAAUAUGAUUAAAACUACUGCAGAUAAUAAAAAUGUUAGAAUGACCUAUUUUGAAUGACAAAAUUUAAUAUUUCAUUAUUUUUUCAGAUUGUAAGUAUAAUAUUUUUAAGUAAAUAAUUUAAUAAUUAAGUUUAAAAAUGAAAUAUGCCUACUUAUUUCAUUUAUUUAUUUUAUUUAACAGCCUGGCGUAAGUAUAUAAACGAAAUUAAAUAUUUUUAACAUAUAGCAGACACCAAUUAAGAUUAAAAAUAAACUAUUAUGACCUUGAGUUGAUAUAUUUGACGUCAUAAUAUGACGUCAUUGGUAAAUAUGGAUACUCCUAUUACCAUUAGUAUAUAGUAUAUAUAGAUUGUUAUAUACAAUCAUAUUAGUUAUAAUGUCUGGUACUAUAUACGACAUUGGCAUUGUAAGAAAUGUUAACCAUCGCUUACAUCACCAAUGCGCCACCAACCUUGGGAACUAAGAUGCUAUGUCCCUUGUGCCUGUAAUUACACUGGCUCACUCACCAUUCAAACCGGAACACAACAAUAUCAAAUACUGCUAUUUUGCGGUAGAAUAUCUGAUGAGUGGGUGGUACCUGCCCGGACGGGCUUGCACAAAGCUCUACCACCAGUAAACCUCAUCUGACGCUCAAAACCAUACGCUGACGUCAUCUAAAGCUCGAAAUUAAAACAACGUUCAAAAACGUUACGUCGAAGUAGCCCGUCGUAACUCAAAAGCGACUUUGAGUCAACGACAGUCUUGAGCGACUGGUAUACAAUAACGAUUCGUUAAAUAGUACCGUUUAUAAAAUAAUAAAUUGAUAAAUAAAAGAAUAAAUUGACUGCAAAGAGUAGUGGUCUGCUUAUGUAUGUUUUAAUGUAAAAUUUCAGUGUGAAUGCGUGACACGGGGUCCGAUAUCACUAUUCAAAUUGAGAGGGAAUAUUAAGUUUCCAAAAAUAAAGGUGACCCCUGAGCGCUACGUGACCCUACCAACGGAGCCGACCUCAACAUUGUGUCCACCCUGUAUCUGUAAACUUUGCCCUAGCGAUAAUGAAAUAGACAAAUGAUAAAAAAUAGUAAUAUUAUAAUAUACUUGGAACCAUGAAA